Long non-coding RNA from Priapulus caudatus, 102 nucleotides. RefSeq lists it as uncharacterized. The transcript has 3 exons. NCBI's taxonomy places the organism in Eukaryota, Metazoa, Priapulida, Priapulimorpha, Priapulimorphida, Priapulidae. The record is from RefSeq and is a predicted model, not a curated record.
UGUCUCUGCUUUUGAAGCGUAGCUUCGUCUCUGCUUUUGAAGGUAGUUGUCUCUGCAUUUGAAGGUAGUUGUCUCUGCUUUUAAGCGUAGCUCGUCUCUGCU